GAUGAACGCUGGCGGCGUGCCUAAUACAUGCAAGUCGAGCGAACAGACGAGGAGCUUGCUCCUCUGACGUUAGCGGCGGACGGGUGAGUAACACGUGGAUAACCUACCUAUAAGACUGGGAUAACUUCGGGAAACCAGAGCUAAUACCGGAUAAUAUAUUGAACAGAAUGGUUCAAUAGUGAAAGACGGUUUUGCUGUCACUUAUAGAUGGAUCCGCGCCGCAUUAGCAAGUUGGUAAGGUAACGGCUUACCAAGGCAACGAUGCGUAGCCGACCCGAGAGGGUGAUCGGCCACACUGGAACUGAGACACGGUCCAGACUCCUACGGGAGGCAGCAGUAGGGAAUCUUCCGCAAUGGGCGAAAGCCUGACGGAGCAACGCCGCGUGAGUGAUGAAGGUCUUCGGAUCGUAAAACUCUGUUAUUAGUGAAGAACAAAUGUGUAAGUAACUAUGCACGUCUUGACGGUACCUAAUCAGAAAGCCACGGCUAACUACGUG
RNAcentral lists this ribosomal RNA (497 nucleotides) under uncultured bacterium. RNAcentral describes it as "partial 16S ribosomal RNA". It matches the Rfam family "Bacterial small subunit ribosomal RNA", at positions 28 to 507 of the family's 1533-position model. The record is from RNAcentral.